RNAcentral lists this ribosomal RNA (471 nucleotides) under uncultured bacterium. Its description in RNAcentral is "partial 16S ribosomal RNA". It matches the Rfam family "Bacterial small subunit ribosomal RNA", at positions 28 to 523 of the family's 1533-position model. The record is from RNAcentral.
GACGAACGCUGGCGGCAUGCCUAACACAUGCAAGUCGAGCGAGUUGAUCCUUUCGGGGUGAGCGGCGGACGGGUGAGUAACGCGUGGGUAACCUGCCCUAUACACACGGAUAACGUACCGAAAGGUACGCUAACACGGGAUAAUAUUGUUGGAUGGCAUCUUCUAACAAUCAAAGCUCCGGCGGUAUAGGAUGGACCCGCGUCUGAUUAGCUAGUUGGUGAGGUAAUGGCUCACCAAGGCGACGAUCAGUAGCCGACCUGAGAGGGUGAUCGGCCACACUGGAACUGAGACACGGUCCAAACUCCUACGGGAGGCAGCAGUGGGGAAUAUUGCACAAUGGGCGAAAGCCUGAUGCAGCAACGCCGCGUGAGCGAUGAAGGCCUUCGGGUCGUAAAGCUCUGUCCUCAAGGAAGAUAAUGACGGUACUUGAGGAGGAAGCCCCGGCUAACUACGUGCCAGCCGCCGCCGUAA